GGCCAUUUGGGUUUCACUAACUUCUCAGAAAUGGACAGUAAGGCCGUCGUGUUGGUAUUUUGCGUCCUGUUGGCAGCUAGUUUUAUGUCAGAAACAGAGGCCGUUUACAGCCAGAACCCGGACAAUAAUGGAAAGAGAUCAUUGAAAUUAGGCAAUGUCCGGAGGAAUAUCAGGAACCUGUGCGCUUCCAUGAACGAUGUUUGCAAAACGGAAAGAGACGAACUGCAGGAUUUUGAUCAGUUAAAGAAGUAAAUGGAUUGCUGGUUGAGUUAAACCGAUUACAACUAUUCAAGGUGUUAAAUGGAUAGAAGAGUGAACUAAGCUGACUAGAACAUUUCAGAGGUGUUGAAACUCUCUUGUAAAAUCAAUAAAAUUGCGUGCAAGAA
Molecule: long non-coding RNA, 386 nt
Organism: Pocillopora damicornis (cauliflower coral)
Lineage: Eukaryota; Metazoa; Cnidaria; Anthozoa; Scleractinia; Pocilloporidae
Source: RefSeq, a predicted model, not a curated record